ACGAACGCUGGCGGCGUGCUUAACACAUGCAAGUCGAACGGAGAGGCCCUGCUUUUGUGGGGUGCUCGAGUGGCGAACGGGUGAGUAACACGUGAGUAACCUGCCCUUGACUUUGGGAUAACUUCAGGAAACUGGGGCUAAUACCGGAUAGGAGCUCCUGCUGCAUGGUGGGGGUUGGAAAGUUUCGGCGGUUGGGGAUGGACUCGCGGCUUAUCAGCUUGUUGGUGGGGUAGUGGCUUACCAAGGCUUUGACGGGUAGCCGGCCUGAGAGGGUGACCGGCCACAUAGGGACUGAGAUACGGCCCAGACUCCUACGGGAGGCAGCAGUGGGGAAUAUUGCACAAUGGGCGGAAGCCUGAUGCAGCAACGCCGCGUGCGGGAUGACGGCCUUCGGGUUGUAAACCGCUUUCGCCUGUGACGAAGCGUGAGUGACGGUAAUGGGUAAAGAAGCACCGGCUAACUACGUG
This 467-nucleotide ribosomal RNA is filed under the name uncultured bacterium. RNAcentral describes it as "partial 16S ribosomal RNA". It matches the Rfam family "Bacterial small subunit ribosomal RNA", at positions 29 to 507 of the family's 1533-position model. The record is from RNAcentral.